CCUACGGGAGGCUGCAGUGGGGAAUAUUGGACAAUGGGCGAAAGCCUGAUCCAGCCAUGCCGCGUGUGUGAAGAAGGCCUUCGGGUUGUAAAGCACUUUCAGUGGGGAAGAAAGCCUUGGGGCUAAUACCCUCGAGGAAGGACAUCACCCACAGAAGAAGCACCGGCUAACUCCGUGCCAGCAGCCGCGGUAAUACGGAGGGUGCGAGCGUUAAUCGGAAUUACUGGGCGUAAAGCGCGCGUAGGCGGUCUGAUAAGCCGGUUGUGAAAGCCCCGGGCUCAACCUGGGAACGGCAUCCGGAACUGUCAGGCUAGAGUGCAGGAGAGGAAGGUAGAAUUCCCGGUGUAGCGGUGAAAUGCGUAGAGAUCGGGAGGAAUACCAGUGGCGAAGGCGGCCUUCUGGACUGACACUGACGCUGAGGUGCGAAAGCGUGGGUAGCAAACAGGAUUAGAUACCCUAUAGUC
RNAcentral lists this ribosomal RNA (464 nucleotides) under Vreelandella stevensii. RNAcentral's name for it is "partial 16S ribosomal RNA". It matches the Rfam family "Bacterial small subunit ribosomal RNA", at positions 338 to 795 of the family's 1533-position model. The record is from RNAcentral. Lineage: Bacteria; Pseudomonadati; Pseudomonadota; Gammaproteobacteria; Oceanospirillales; Halomonadaceae.